AGGGUUUGAUCAUGGCUCAGGAUGAACGCUGGCGGUAUGCUUUACACAUGCAAGUCGUACGAGAGUUUUGAACUCAAGUGGCGGACGGGUGAGUAACACGUAAGAAUUUACCUUUAGGAGGGGGACAACAACUGGAAACGGUUGCUAAUACCCCAUAUGCUUUCGAGUGAAAUGGAUUUUUCCGCCUAGAGAGAAGCUUGCGGCUGAUUAGCUUGUUGGUGAGGUAAUGGCUUACCAAGGCGACGAUCAGUAUCUGGUUUGAGAGGACGAUCAGACACACUGGAACUGAGACACGGUCCAGACUCCUACGGGAGGCAGCAGUGGGGAAUUUUCCGCAAUGGGCGAAAGCCUGACGGAGCAAUACCGCGUGAGGGAUGACGGCCUAUGGGUUGUAAACCUCUUUUUUCAGGGAGGAAUCAAAUGACGUGUACCUGAAGAAUAAGCAUCGGCUAACUCCGUGCCAGCAGCCGCGGUAAGACGGAGGAUGCAAGUGUUAUCCGGAAUCACUGGGCGUAAAGCGUCUGUAGGUGGUCAAAUAAGUCAACUGUUAAAUCUUGGGGCUCAACCUCAAAAUCGCAGUCGAAACUAUUAGACUAGAGUAUAGUAGGGGUAAAGGGAAUUUCCAGUGGAGCGGUGAAAUGCGUAGAGAUUGGAAAGAACACCGAUGGCGAAGGCACUUUACUGGGCUAUUACUAACACUCAGAGACGAAAGCUAGGGUAGCAAAUGGGAUUAGAUACCCCAGUAGUCCUAGCCGUAAACAAUGGA
This 766-nucleotide ribosomal RNA is filed under the name uncultured bacterium. RNAcentral's name for it is "bacterial SSU rRNA". It matches the Rfam family "Bacterial small subunit ribosomal RNA", at positions 8 to 813 of the family's 1533-position model. The record is from RNAcentral.